AACGAACGCUGGCGGUGCGCCUAACACAUGCAAGUCGAACGGGGUUGCCACGCGAAGCUCGCUUCGGUGAGUGGAGUGUGGUAACUUAGUGGCGAACGGGUGAGUAACACAUAGGUAACCUACCCUUAGGUUUGGGAUACCCCCGAGAAAUCGGGCUCAAUACCGGAUAUAAUCCUGGGGUGAAAAUCCCCGGGAUCAAAGCUCCGAGCAAUCGUGGCGCUUAAGGAUGGGCCUGUGUCCUAUCAGCUAGUUGGUGAGGUAAUUGCUCACCAAGGCAAAGACGGGUAGCCGGACUGAGAGGUCGAUCGGCCACACUGGAACUGAGACACGGUCCAGACUCCUACGGGAGGCAGCAGUGAGGAAUUUUGCGCAAUGGGCGAAAGCCUGACGCAGCGACACCGCGUGGGGGAAGAAGGCUCUCGGGUUGUAAACCCCUUUCGUGAGGGAAAAAGCCCCGAGCAAUCGGGGUGAUGGUACCUCAGGAAGAAGCCACGGCUAACUCUGUG
RNAcentral lists this ribosomal RNA (506 nucleotides) under uncultured bacterium. Its description in RNAcentral is "bacterial SSU rRNA". It matches the Rfam family "Bacterial small subunit ribosomal RNA", at positions 29 to 507 of the family's 1533-position model. The record is from RNAcentral.